AUUAGUCAAAUCAUUCUGAAAUAUUAAAUACACAAAAUUCCUAAUUUCCGUUGUGGGGAAGCUGGUGGAGGACUUCGAUUGCUAUUUGAUGUUGCUUCCUUGUUAUUAUUUUAAAGAUACAAAUUGCUGCAGACUGAUCAUUGGAGUUGGGAUUCACUGCUGCCCUGAGAUUCUUGGAGCUCUGGUGCAGGAGUGCUGCAGCGAUGCUGGCUGUCUAGAUUUUGUGAUCUGCCCUUGGCUGUCUGCAAGCUGGGAUGAUGGGAAACUGCUGCCUCCUGCUGCGACUUUUUUUUUCCCGCUUUUUCACUUUUUUUCCAUCGCGCUUUAUCUUCCGCUGCUCUAUAGAGGAGCUGUCACUGCUACUCAGUGGCAACUCCUAUGAAUUUGGCCAUUGGUCAUCUUUGAGGUGCUGACCAUCUCUUCCCCCUACUUCUGGGUCACUUUCAAUCCGCUUUGUGACCUCUGGCCUAGAGUGCAUGGGAUUUGUGGGAGGGAAGUAUUAUACCCAUUCUUGCUGUUUUGUUCUGUGUUUUUACCUCUGCAGCCUGCCACCGCUCGUGUUGGGUGAGAAACCUUGUUGCCUCGGUAACCCAUCUGAUUGUUGCACUCUGCUCUGUGUUUUUUUAUCUCAUUGCCUCUGUUUUGGUUGUUUCAGUGACCAAUGCAAAACGCCUUCAGCAACCCUGUAGGUGGAGCAUCGUGACAACGCGCCCAUCUCUAUUUUGUGCAAAACAGAGUAAUCACUCUCCCCUCCAAACAUUUGGCUUCUGGCAGUGCCAUGUCCUUCGGCAAUCUGACAGAAAGAAACAUUUUCUAAGUAUAAAAUAGGGAAGAGAGUAAUCAUGGAGAUAGUGGGAUUCACCGGAGACCAAACUUGCAAUCUGUCGCUAGAGCCAGAGGAUGUAGGGGUCACGGUGUGUGCUGGUAACGACUGAACCCAGGUGCGAAGGAAUGUCAGACUCCCACAUAGUGACAGAAACAAGAUUUUAUUCAUAGGAAGACCAACAGAACAUCAGUGGCACGAUCAAGCGAUACUCCUAGAUGAAGCAUUCACAUCAAAAAGGACCCCGUGACAAGCGGUAGUCAGGAGUCCGCUCUAAAUAAUUAUAAAAUGCGGAAAACCCAUGCCAGUCACAAUAAACUCAACAAGAUUAAGGAGAAAACACUAGGGCCUAAUGAUUCUAGUUAAGACAUCAAUUAAUAAAUACAGGUACUUGAGAAACCUGGAAGCCCAGCAUUCUACGUGUCGCCACAGAGGCCUGCAGGAGUCAUGACAGUAGAUGAGGUUUUCAAUGGAUGCUUCUCAUCUGUAUUCACAAUGGAAGAAGUCAGUGCAAUUGGCAAAUUCAGGGAGAGGGGCGGUGGCAUUCUAGAACGAGUUACUAUUGGAGAAGAGAUGGUAUUAAAAUUGGAUAAGUUCCCAGGGUCCCAGGAAACUUGCUAUGAGAGGCAAGCAAGGAGAUUUCUGGGGCUCUGACAGAAAUUUUUCAAACCUACUCUGACUGCAGAAGAGGUAGUAAGACUAGAGAACAGAGGCCAUAAUAUCUUUAGUUAAGAAAGGCAGAUGGGUAGUUCCAGGUGAUGGGGAAAUUAUUGAAAAACUAGACUAGUAUCAGACGGGCAGGAGGAGACAGAUGAAACAGCAAUGGUGAGUGUUAAGAAGGUGGCUAAAUGUGUUGAUGAUGAUAAUGUAUUCUCUGUAGAAUGUAUGGACUUCAAUAAUGAAUUUAGCAAGAUCCCAUGUGGGAGACUGAACCAAUAAAUAAAAGCUUAUAGUAUGCAGGGCAACUAUAAGGGUAAUGAAAAGUAGAGGGUGUUGGUGAAGGGCUGCUUUUGUGAAAGAAGGCCUGCCAUUACUAAUAUACCAAAGAUAAUAAAACUGUACAUCUUGCGGUUUGUUAUAUACAGUAAUUAAUUACCCAGAUCUGAAUGUAGGAAAUAAGUAAGUUUCAGAUGCCAUGAAAACUCCUUGAAUUUCAAAGCCUUUAACUGCAGAAUGUCUUUGACUAGUUACCCACGAGGUGUAACCAUCUUUUUGCUCUUCCCACUGAUGUGUAGGGAAGUCAGCAAUGACUAUAACUUGCUACUUAGUGCCAAAAGACCAAGGGCAUGCAAUGGAGAAUAAAUCCAAAGAUCUGAGGCCACAGAGGGGAAGAAGAAUGGAAACUGGAGCCAUCAUGGAAUCACUGGACUGAAUGGUUUCUUUUGGUGGCAAUAAGAAAGAAAAUUCAAGAUUUUUUAUUGUCAUUCUUUAGUAGAUGGGUGUAAAGGAAAAGGAAAUUACUGUUAUUCAGGAUCCAAUGCAGCGUAAAAAACAAUUAAAAAAACUGUAAGUAUAAAUAUGAAAGCAGUCCUAUAAAACACAAUGUACAACUGCAGCACACAUAGGCUGAUUGUAUGUACAUGAAGUGAUGCUGCAUGAUGUGUACAUAAUGAUGGCCAAGUGGGUUAACGGUGAAAGUGGAAGUGUUGAUCAGCCUGAUGGCUUGGGGAAGUAACUGUUUUUCAGUCCAGUGGUCCUGGCGUGGAUCCUCCCUAUGGGAGAGGGCCAAACAAUCUAUAAGCAGGGUGAGGGUGAUCGUUCAUGUUGUUGCUGGCCUUUUUUUGGCACCUUUCUGAAUAUACAUCUUUGCUUGCAGAUAAGUUAGGCAGUUUUAACUACCCAUUGUAGAGCCUGCCAGCCCACCACAGUGCAGUUUCUGUAUCACACAUUGACGCAGUAUGCUCUCCACUGUAUCUAGAGUCACAAGUAUUGACGUACAUUGCCCAGCUCUCGUCUGCCUCCUCAGAAAGUAAAGGCAUUGGUGAGCUUUCUUGACUGUGGAGGAUGAUGAGAAGUGUUUUAAGGUAAUGAGGGGCAUUGAUCGCGUUAAGUAGGUGGCUAAAUUUGUCAAUGAUGUGACUAUCAGAGGCUUUUUCCCAGGGCUGAAAUGGCUAACGUGAGAGAGCACAGUUUUAAGCUGCUUGGAAGCAGGUACAGAGGAGACGUCAGGGUUACGUUUUUUUACGCAGAGAGUGAUGAGCACGUGGAAUGGGCUGCCAGCGACGGUGGUGGAAGUGGAUACGACAGGGUCUUUUAAGAGACUCCUGGAUAGGUACAUGGUCGGCACAGCAUUGUGGGCCGAAGGGCCUGUAUUGUGCUGUAGGUUCUCUAUGUUUCUAUGUCUUCUGGCACCAUGACAGGCAGUGCGAGAUAUACAAUCCUAGGAUUUUGAAACAGCUCACAGUUUCAACUGCUGUGGAUGUGAAGUGGAGUUGGAGUGGUGCAGGUUUUUAACCAUUCUCGUUGGUCUUUUAGGAAGAGGUUAUUUAUCCUCAAGCUCUUCCACCUCCUCUCUGUAAGCCUUCUCAGUAUUGUUGGUGAUGAACCCACCACUGUUGUGUCAUCGGCAAACUUGACAAUGUGGCUGGGGCGAGAGGAAGAGAAGGGGGAGAAGGAAGGAGAGUUGGUAAGCAGAUGGAUUGUGAGUUUUUAAAAUAAAGCAUCACUGAAUUUCAAUACAGUUGGAUUUACUUUGAGGGGAAUUUCAAUGAUCAAGGCAACAUGAGGAUAUAAACAAAGUAAAACAGUUAUAGAUCAGUUAAAUAUAAAAAUAAAAUAAAAUAUAACAGUGUUUGCACUUGUUGCUGAAAAAAACAUUCUGGAACUGAAAGAAAAUUAUAGCACUUCUUUUGGAUAUUUAAAAUGCAAAAUAGUGCCUAUGAGUUUGCAUUCAAAGGAAGGGAUGCCAGCCAGCAUACUGGAGGAAUUCAUAGCAUUUGUUAUAAAAGGGAGAUGUGUACAAUACCAGAAUUUGUUACCCAUAAUCACAAUAGCCAUGGGUGAAAGUAACCUAAAUUUCUCACAUGCACAGUAAUUUCACUACUGUAUAGUAAGGUUCAUUCCGUUCUGACACUAAAUGACUGUCAGCACAUUCUCACUGCUACCAUCAGGGGGAGGAGGGACAAAAGAUUGAAAACCCAUACAAAACAAUUUAAGAACACCCUCUUUCCCUCUGCCAUCUGAUUUCCCAAUGGACAUUAAGCCCAUGAACACUACCCCACUACCUCACUACUCUUUAUUCCUCUCUUAUUGCACUACUUAUUUAAUUUAACCUUAAAAACAUAUAUAUAUAGUGUUUACUGUUUUUUAUUACUAUGUAUUACAUUGUACCGCUGAUGCAUAACAACACAUUUCACAACAUACGCCAGUGAUAUUGAAUCUGAUUCUGACAAGUUUCUGCCUCAGGAAAUUUCAAGCUCAGAUCAGAAAUGGAACAGAAAAAAAAAGGUAAAAAAUAAAAACACAAAAUGCUGGCAGAACUCAGCAGGCCAGACAGCAUCUAUGGGAGGAGGUAGUGACGACGUUUCAGGCCGUAACCCUUCAUCAGGAGGAGCUCAUUUGGAGAAAUUAAAAUGCCUCGCAUUCCGGUAAACUACUUCAGUCAGAGAUCAUCACAGACGGCCAACUUCAUUUUCAGAACAAAGAUGGACAAGGAACAUCUGUGACAGACGACUUGCUAACAAAGGCUGUCCCACUAGUGAAGAUAGCCUCUUAGAUCCUUGCGUGAGAAAACACUAAAGUUUGUCACAGCUUUUAACAAAUGAUUUCUGUACUCAGUUCUAUAGACCAGGAGUGGCCACCAACCAACAUAAUCAUGAUUUCAUUGUUAUUCUAUUCAACAAUUAUCCUGAACUUAUUGGCAUAAGUGUUGGCGCGUGGCCUAGUGGGCAAGGCAUCAGACUAGUAACCUGAAGGUCACUGGUUCGAGCCUCAGCUGAGGCAUCGUGUUUGUGUCCUUGAGCAAGGCACUUAACAACACAUUGCUCUGCGACGUCACCGGUGCCAAGCUGCAUGGGUCCUAGUGCCCUUCCCUUGGACAACAUCGGUGGUAUAGAGAGGGGAAGGCCUGCAGCUUGGGCAACUGCCGGUCUCCCAUACAACCCUGCCCAGGCCUGCGCCCUGGAAACUCCAGGCGCAGAUCCAUGGUCUCUCGAGACCGAUGGAUGCCACCAACCAAUUGGCAUAAAUGACUGAGUUUUAAAAUUCUGUUUCUAAUCACCCCAUGGCCCUGCUCCCUUCCUAAUUUCUGCAUUCUUUUCUAGUCCAGGACUGGGGAGUCCUCUGCAGUUCUUUCAUCCUGGCCUUUUUAUCAUUUGGUGACGAGGAAGCAAAUCAUUUACUUCACCUGCUCAAUCUUUUCACCUUGCUCUCCCUAUUUAAACUGCCCCUUAAACUUCAAUCAAGGUUAUUUUUUUCUACUAUUUUCUAAAGCGGUUCACUGUCAAAUGUUGUUUGUGGUGCUCUUAUGAAGCACCUGGGAAACUUGACCCUGCUCAAGUACUUAAUGGCAAGUGUUAUGAAGUUUCUUGUAAAGUGUAACUGCAGAAAAGAAUGAUAUAAGAUGCUGAUCCUGUACCAAAGGUGUGUUGGAAGAUUGAUGUGUGGCUGCACAACAUCGAGCGGAUUGUUGUCUUGAGACAGGCUGGAGUAUUUAAAUCACCGUGGUUUCCAGAGUCCGGACACUAGGUGGCUCUGGCACAACAGAUUUGAUUCAGGCAAGUUCAAUUUCCAGCCCUUGCUACCUGCUUUGCACCGUAAUAUUUCACCACCUCAAACAAGUAAUUUUAAAUGGUAGAUUAAGUGCACGCACACUGAAGCUCAUGUCUCUGCUCACUACCCAGGGACGAAGAUCAAAACUGUCUGUGGAAGCUUGCUGGCAAACAUGAAUCAGAAUCAGGUUUGAUACUACUGACAUAUGUCGUGAAGCGUGUUAAAUGCGGCAGUGGAACAAUGCAAACAUAAUAAUAGAAAAGAAAAAUGUGGAUUACAGCAAGUAUAUAUAAAUAGCUAAAUUAAUAAAUAGUGCAAAAAUAGACAUUUUUAAAAAGCAGUGACGUAGCGUUCAGGGGUUCAAAGUCCAUUCAGAAAUCGGAUGACAGAGGGGAAGAAGCUGUUCCUGAAUCACUGAGGGUGUGCCCUCAGGCUCCUGUACUUCCUCCCUGGUGGUAGCAAUGAGAAGAAGGCAUGUCCUGGGUGAUGGGGGUCCUUAAUGAUGGACGUCACUUUUUUGAGACAUUGCUCCUUGAAGAUGUCCUGGAUACUACAGAGGCUUUGGCCCACGAUAGAGUUGUUUACAAUUCUCUGCAGCUUAUUUUGCUCCUAUGCAGUGACUCCUUCCCCCUCCCACAUCCAGCUGGUGAUGCAGCCAGAUAGAAAGUUCUCCAUGGUAUAUCUGUAGAAAUUCUCAAGUGUUUUAGGUGAUAUACCAAAUUUUCUCAGAUUCUUAAUGAAAUAUAUAGCUGCUGACAUGCCUUCUUUGUACAAACGUAGCUGCAUCGAUAUGAGAAAUACGACAGUAAGCCAUUUAGAUCCCAAUAAAUUCAAUAACACUAGUCAACAAAGAUUUUUUGCUUCCUGAGUACUUUUGGUUGUAUCUUGCUGAAUUUGGGCUGCUGGUCAUGAAAAUCACCAUGACAUUUCCUUAUCAUGCACAAUUUGUUUGAAAUUGAAAUAUGUUUGUUAUUUUAAUUCAUAAUUCAAGUCAAUUAAAAUGUUGCUCACAACGUCAGCUGAAAAGUUUUCUAUCUUGGCAUGCCUGUGUACAUUUAGCCAGGACAGGUUUCUGAAAGGUUGCUACUAGAAUGUAGCUUGGAUACACUACAUACUGGUGUUUUGUUUGUGAAUGGGACAGCCAUGCUAAAGAAUUUCAUUACAUUAAAAAGGAUUGGACACUUCAUAAGCAUUUGGUUCCUGGGCAGAAAAGUGUGGCACAUAAGCCAGUUGCAGACCCAACAAGGAUAUUUUUGUCUCCUCUUCAUUUAAAACUGGGGUUUAUGAAAAAUUUUGUGAAAGUGAUGAACAAGGAAGAAGGAUUUCGACUUUUGAGACAGACAUUUCCCAGAAUAACUAAUGCCAAGAUUAAGGAAGGCAUUUUUGUUGGUCCUCAAAUCAAACAGGUCAUCAAUGACAGGCAAUUCGAAGAACUUCAACGGAACUAGAGAAAAUCACAUGGAAGGCAUUCAAAGAUGUUCAAAUUUUUCUUGUGUUACGAAUGUGAAGCAACUCUGAGGGGUCGAAGGGUACAAAGUUGCCCCCUCCUUUUUGAGAAUCACAAGAUUGCUAUUAAUUCAGGUCUGGGACCCAGGAAACGAGAGAGAGACUCGCAGAAUCCACAAGGUUUGGAAUGUGUCCUGGCCUCAGCAGAACGGAUCCACUGAUAACAGCCAUGGUCUCUUGGAGACGGAAUUGUCUAUUGAGUACUGUACUAUUCAUUGAAACCCCUCAGGGGACAACCAGAGUGGUCUGGUUGAGGGAUUGCAUCAUCCCAACCUGAUUGACAUCUGAGACCCCAUGAGUAAGGAUAAAAGAGGGUCUGGGGAACAACUCCUUUAGACGCACCAGAAGAAACGCUGGAAAUCCAGUGACAGCGUUUUAUAGCAAAAGCCGGUGGGGCUUGUGUGCAUCUUCCCUUGCCUGGGUUGGCGGGCUCACCACGGAAGAAUGGUAUAGCUAAAGGAGAGGCCACAAGUGAACGGCCACACCAACGAGACUCCGACGGAUCGAAAUCAUAAAAGGAAAAUCGGCAAGUUUUUCUCCAAAUCUCUCUCUCUCUCUCUCUCUCUCUCUCUCUCUCUCUCCAACCAUUGCAAACCCAGUGGUCCCCAAAGGCUGCAGCCUGCAUGAACUGAGUGAACUUUAUAUUUCCAUCGGACAAUACUUUAUCCUCUAGACAACAAUAGAGCUUAUUUCUUAUUGAUCAUUAUUAUACCCGCACUUUUAGAUUUAGUAUUGACAACGUAUAUUAUCUGUAUAUUUGCAUUGAUAUUAUUUUUGUGUCUUUUUACUAAUAAAUACUGUUAAAAAUAGUAUCAUCAGACUUCAAUGGACCUCUCCAUCUUUGCUGGUAAGUGACCCAGUUACAGGGUUUGUAACACAGAGCACCAGACUACAUGCAGUUGGUGGACAACAAGCUUCGAGCACACAAAACCAUGAAGUGCAACAUGUCACUGAAGAUUAAUUUUCUGCAUUCCUUUUUAGACUUCUUCCCUGCAAAUCUUGGUGCUGUCAGUGACGAGCAUGCUGAAAAGUUUCACCAGGAGAUUGUCGUCAUGGGGAAACAGUAUCAGGGCAAUUGGAAUCCAUCAAUGCUGGCAGAUAAUCAGCAUCAGACAUCCAUAAAACAGAAGAAAAUCCCAAGGAAUGAAUGACAGAAAAAUGGUAAAACUUCAAACCUCCCCUCCCUCCUAUGUACAAGCAGCAGCAAAGCAUCAACUCUUCCCUACACAUUCCAGCAGGAAGCAUCAGCCCCUACUGCCCACCGUGCUGGCAAUAGCCAACCCCUAAAGAGAUCAUGCUCGAGAAUCCAUCAAAAACCAGAGCCUGUAACCCAGCACUCCGACAUGACACAGGCUCCCUCUCUUUCACCAACAAGGGAGAGAGAGGUAUUUCUCCUGCCACAGGGAGAGGGGAGACCAACAUUAGCUUGGCAUUUUGGGACCUACUCCAGCUUUUAGUACCUCAAUAUCAGGUGUUCAGUUUGGAAGUGCCAGCAAUAAUCAAAAUGAUCUGGCCCAUAGAUUAAAUUUGUUAUUUCUUUGGAUAACAGACAAUUCAUUACUGAAUUGCAAAUUUGUAUUUUGUUUGUUUUUGAUGAAAUGUUUGGGAAUAUCUUAUAUACGAUGACAAUUCAGCUAUGACAAAUUUAUGUAAGAUACAAAUACAUGAUAGAGUUUUGUUAGAAUUCCCCAGCACUACAUUGAGGAUCACCUGUAUGAUCCUGCACUGGGUUGGUCUUUGGUGAAAACAAAGACCAGUGAAUUUCAAAAGGUAAAUUGUAACAAAAGGAGCAGAGAGAAAGGGGAAAGUACAAUAUUUAAUAAAAUUAUUCUGCUUCACUUAAUGUCUUGAUUUAUUUAUAUCUAUUCUACAAACGUUUGUAGUUAAUGCACAUUACUUACAGUACUGUGUAAGAGGCUCCAGAACAUGAACAGUAUAUAGCUAGGGUGCUUAAGGCUUUUGCACACAACUGUAGUAAUUUUAUUUAAAGCACUGUACUGCUGGAAAAAAACAGCAUGGAUUUCAUGACAUAUGUGAGUGAUGAUAAACCUGAUUCUGGUAUGGGUCUCUACUGUGGACUGAGAGUGGGGGGCAGGGAGAGGGGAGAGAGUUGUGAGCAUCAGUGAUCAAUAAACCAGUUGUUUGGAAUCAAAAGACCUUGCCUGGUCUUUCAGGGCUGGGUGUGUCUGCACUGUGUCACUCUCUACCCCGGUACUCCUCCUCUGCCACCCGUCCCACACCCCUCCUCUGGGACUCCACCUUAGCCAUUCCCAACAUCCUUUGCUCCUGCGGAUUUACAAGCUCACUCUCUGCUCCUCGUUGACAAAUACAGUACUGUGCAAAAGUCUUAGGCAUCCUAGCUAUAUGCGUGCCUAUGGCUUUUGCACAGUACUGUACUUCAACUACUUAGUUUUAUCUGUCAACUUUUACAACUAGCAAAACCUGUCCUCACCUUUACCUGCUGUUGAACAUCACCAAAGAUGUGUUUUGGUGGGGCUGCAGCCAUAAUAGCUUUCCACAUCUGGCCAGGUAAAUAAUGGAUAUGGAUGGUAAUUCCAGGCAUGGACAUAGGGGCACCAGGCCAGUAUAAUUUGGCUUGUGAUUUAGCUAUUCAUACCUUUGUCUCUCACAUGCCUGUAAAAUACUUCCACUAAUAAAUUCAUUCAUUCUUUGGUGUCAUUAAAACGGACUUGUCUGGCAAAAGAUAUUUACUUUGGCUUUUACUCUAGAUAUUUUCCAAAGCUAUUAGAAGUAAAGUUGUUUUAACAUUCUUAUGCAAGCUGAUGAAAGAAAAUAUUAAGCAGCUCAAGUUCAUUUUUGAAAAAAUAAACAACUUGGUGAAUCACUUUCUUUCAGCUUUGAUAUUUUUCCAUCAUCCUUCCUAAUGCCAGUUCAAACUUCUGCAUAACGGAGUCACGUUUCUAAAUCAGUAUACCUACCACAUUAAAUCUGCCUGUCCCUUCUUGGUUAAGAAAAAAGUGGUGCAUAUCCGGCACAGAGCUUACUGUACUCUGAACACCAACCAAAGGACUGAUGACCAAGAAAGGACACUAGCAUUGGAUCACUUAUCCUUUAAUGGAUUUGGAGGAUUUUGCAGAGACUGUGUUGGUGGAUUUUCCCAUUGCCUUCAGGACCCUGCUUCAGGUAAUCCAGGUCACAGAAGCACAUAAGAAGGCAAGAUUCACUGCAGCCUGCUAGAUUAUGAGUUUUGUGUGCACUUUGACUCGGUCAAAGACUAGGAUGAUCCACUUAGGGUGGCUCCUGUUAGAAACCACCAUGAUUUGAAUAAUACUUUUUAUAAGUUUGUACUUUUUAACAAACUCAUGUAUUUUUCACAGUAUGUGGUGGCUCAUCCCCACUCACUGGCAGAAAUUGGUAUAGCAGCUACACUAACGGUGUAUCACCUUUCUCAUUUUUCAUUUUCUAAGUAUCAGCACAUCACCCAUGUGAUGUAAUUGUUUUAAUUAUGUAGCCUAUGAACUAGGUUAUUCUUUUCUAAUGAGUAUCUAUAAAGUGAUGGAUUUUUCAAAGUCACUAUUGUUGCUUCUUUUCUAUCUUUUGUCUUCGCAUUCACCUCUCUGCAUUGUUUCUCUGUUCUUUAGUUAGUUUGCCUAGUAUUUGCAUGUUUGUUUUAACUCUAAAAUAAACUUCUUAGAAUUAAGACUGCUCACAAUUUUUUACUCCCAGAAGAAUCCCAAGGAUCAGAAAAUAAACAGAGAUCCAAUAUGUCAAGUGGUCUUUGCUUUCCAGGGUACCUCUGUGAAACUUUACUAUUGAAAGGCAAAGUCACUAAAGGACCUUUUGGCUUAUCAUUGUAAGAGCUAUCCACUCAUUUGCUUCAGUGAACAAGUCAAAAAGGUCCUUGAAAGUACACAAAUGUAAGCCUACUGCAGGUGUAUUAAGGUCUUGGUUCUUUAUUUAUGCACCGUAGAUUGAACACUUAUAUCCUACCGAUCAGCUUCACUUCCAUGUGAGGGCUGUUGAAGAUGGGGUGCAGCAAUGCAGAGAGAAAGAGUAUCAGGGCGAUGAAGCAGCCUUCACUGAGACUGGAGAUUCACUGUGGUGGAUCUGUUGGUUUGCAUAAUGGCUUCCAUACUAUCAUGAAACCAAAGGUGGAGAUGCAGGCUGUGAGAUCUGAGGAGGGUGUUCCACAGUUUGUCCCAGCUGGAAUGGCGUAACAAGUCAGCAUGUGCUGCAACCCUCACUGCUAUGAAUUGUGCUCUAAUUACAAUGUAUUACACAAUAAUUCAUUCAGUAUUAUGGCAUACUUUUUAAUUUUAUUAAUCAUCUUCAUUAAUCUACUUGGCUUUUACUUUUUCAAUAUAUGAUUAUAUACAGAAUGUAUAGUUAUUCCAUAAAUCAAAAUUCUCCAACCAAUGGCCAUUUCUAAUAUUUAUCUUGAAUAUUCUAAUAAUGUUGCAAGAAAUAAAUGCCCUUAGGGAAAGGUAGUCAGCUGGUGGUGUAGUGGCAUCUGCACCAGACUUCGAGGCAAGUGGUCCCAGCUUCGAAUCCGCCUGGCUUGCGUGCUUUCCAAUGGUGCUGGGUAACAAAUGUUAAAGAAAUGGCAGUUGCCACCUGAUGUGGAGAGGAACUCAAACUCAGGGAAGUACUACUUCAUUAAUUCCUUUUCUGGUUUGUGGUUGACUCUUGCACUGGUGGGCAAUGAGGAUUAAAACUAGGUGGACAGUGAGGAUUACCAGCAUUGUCCAAAUUCCAGUACAUUAAAGGAAAAGGUCAGAAAAAUUUACAAAUGUAAACCAUUUGCUUGACACAUUGACAUAGCGCUUUCGAACAUAAAUUACAUGUUUGACCAAUAUUCAAGUAUAGCCUUUGUUGAAAACAAAAUCUGCAUAUAUCAGCAUUAUACUAAUUACUUGUCACAAAAUAUACAAAAAACUUGAAAUGAAAAUGCUAAUACAAAAUGUACAAAAAAUUAAAAUGCAAAAUUUUUAAUACAAAAUGUACAAAAAAAUUAAAUUGAAAUGUAAAUGCUAAUGUACAUAAAGCAAUAAAAUGCGCAGCAUUUCUGAAAUAUGUGUCAUGAGUUGAGUGCACUUGUUCUCAAUGAAGGGGACAGAUUCAGAACUAGAAUCCCAAAUCUGUUUUUUGCUGUCGAUGGCAGUACUAAGGCAAUGCUUCUAUGUUAUACUCCUAUGACCGUAAUAUGCUGGGAAAUGGAAACGAGAUUCUAUUGUGGUAUUUAGUUUGAAGCCUGUACUAUAUUCCUGUGGAUUAAUGCCACGACGUGCAAGACCAACAGAAUGUGUUCAAUACUCACUGUUUAAGUAGAUUCAGAAUAAUACAAAUUCAUCCCUAGUAUUGUAAAUAUUCCCUCAAUGAUUCAACUAUUUGUUGUACCUUAUUAGAAAGUUCUGUGCAGUCAUGAUAGAGAACUUUGUCAUUGAAGAAGAGUUACAAUAACACCAACUGAUUCGUUAUUGUUCAAUCUUUGGCAUUCUGAUUGAUAGUUUUAAAGUGACAGCUAAUACAAAAAGUAAUGUCUUAUACUUAUGGUCUUAAUUGAGAGAAAAAUGGAUUGGCCAUGUGAAACGGUGGAGCAGACUUGAUGGGCUAAUUCAAGAUUCAAGAUUCAAAAACUUUAUUGUCAUUCUAACCGUACAUCAGCUCUGCAGGGCAGAAUGAGACAGCGUUUUCCAGGAGCAGUGCAAUCAUAACAUAACAAACGUAAAACUAAAUAAUAAACAUAACAAUAAAUAAUUGGCCUAAUUCUGCUCCUAUGUCUCAUGGUCUAAAUUGGAUAUUCUUUAUAAUUUGAAUAUUGUAUGUCUAUUAAUACACAGAAACCUUUGUGGAUGUCCACAUACUGCAGAUGCUAAGAGUAAUUCGAGAGACUGAGGAACUCAGAAAUAAGACCAUAAGACACAAGAACAGAUUCAGCCUAUCGAGGCUGCCCUGCUAUUUAAUCAUGGCUGAUUUAUUAUCUCUCUCGACACUAUUCUCCUGCCUUUUCCCUGUAACCGUUGACGCCUUGACAAAUCAAUAACCUAUCAAGCUCCGCUUUAAAUAUAUUCAAUGUCUUGGCCUCCACGACCGUCCAUGGCAAUUAAUUCCACAGAUUCUUCACCCGCUGGCUAAAUAAAUUCCUCCUCAUCUCUGUUCUAAAUGGAUGUCCUUCUUGAAAAUAAUGAGCUUGUGCCCUCGAGUAUUAGACUCACCCACUACCGGAAACAUCCUCUCCAUAUCCACUCUAUCUGGGUCUUCAAUAUUUGAUAGGUUUCAAUGAGGUUACCCUCCCCUCCCCUCAUUUUUCUAAUCUCUAGUGAGUGCAGGCCCAGAGCCAUCAAACGCUCCUCAUAUGUUCACCCUUUUAUUGCAAGGUCUCUGGACCCUCUCCAAUGCCAGCAUAUAAUUUCUUAAUUAAGAACAUAACAUAAGAAACAUGAGCAGGAGUAGGCCAUCUGGCCUGUCGAGCCUGCUCCGCCAUUCAAUAAGAUUGAGGCUGAUCUGGCCAUCAUCUCCACCUAUCUGCCUUUUCCCCAUGAUCCUUAAUUCCCCUACUAUGCAAAAAUCUAUCCGACCUUGUCUUAAAUAUAUUUACUGAAGAAACCUCCACUGAUUCAUUGGGCAGAGAAUUCCACAGAUUCACCACUCUCUGCGAAAAGCAGUUCCUCCUCAUCUCCAUCGUAAAUAUACUUCCCCGAAUCUUGAGACUAUGUCCCUUAGUUCUAGUCUCACCUACCAGUGGAAACAACUUUGCUGCCUCUAUCUUAUCUAUCCCUUUCAUAAUUUUAUAUGUUUCUAUAAGUUCUCCUCUCAUUCUUAUGAAUUCCAGUGAGUACAGUCCCAGGUGACUAAAUCUCUCCUCAUAGUCUUACACCCUCAUCUCUGGAAUCAACCUGGUGAACCUCCUCUGCAUCACCUCCAAAGCCAGUAUAUCCUUCCUCAAGUAAGGAGACCAGAACUGCACGCAGUACUCCAGGUACAGCCUCACCAGUACCCUGUACAGUUGCACUAUAACCUUCCUGCUCUUAAAUUCAAUUCCUCUGGCACUGAAGGCCAACAUUCCAUUUGCCUUUGUGAUAUCCUGCUGCACCUGCAAACUAACCUUUUGUGAUUCAUGCACAAGCACUCACAAGUCCCUCUGCACAACAGCAUGCUGCAAAUUUUUACCAUUUAAAUAACAUGCUCUUUCAUUUGUUUCCUUCCAACGUGGAUGACCUUGCAUUUACCUACAUUGUACUCCAGCUGACAGAACCUUGUCCACUCAAUUAACCUAUCUGUAUCUGUCUGUAGACGUUCCAUAACUUCUGCACAAUUUGCUUUUCCACUUCAUUUAGCAUCAUCAGCAAUACACUACAAUAACACUACAAUCGAUCCCCUCUUCCAGAUCAUCGAUGUAUACCAUAAGGAGCCCAAAACUGCCUGCAAUACUGCAAUUGUAGUCUGAGAAAUGCCUUAUAAAGCCACAGCAUUACAUCCUUGCAGUUAUGUUCUAGUCCAUUUGAAAUGAAUGCUAACAUUGCAUUUGGCUUCCUUACUACUGACUCAACCUUCAGGGUAUCCUGCACAAGGAUCGGUGACACUUUGGAAUGAAACCCUGCAUCACAGCUCAGGGUGGGUCUCGUCAUACUGUCACACGAUCUAAUACUGAAACGUCAAUAUCUCUUUGCCACCACAGAUGCUGCAUGAUGAGCUGAGUUCUUCCAGUAGUUUGUGUUUCUUUUUGCUCCAUUUGUCACAUUUUGCACUCACUAUACUUCAUGGAUUGCUUUAAUAUUCCUAUCCAUUUGGAGGCCACAAGAUACUUGAUCUAUUAACUGAGCUUGACAUGAAGGGAAACUUCUUCACUCAGAAAUUUAUGAGAGUGUGGAACCAGUUGCCAUCACAGGCGGUGCAUGUGAGCUCAAUUUCAACAUUUAAGAGAAGUUUUGGAUGGUAGAGAUAUGGAAAGCUAUAGACCAGGUGUAGGUCAAUAGCAGUAGGCAGUUUAAAUGGUUUGGCAUAGACUAGAUGGGCUGAAGGGCCUGUUUCUCUGUUGUACUUUUCGAUGACUCUGUAACAUAUUAUAAUUUAUUGGAAGAAAUCAGUUUGAAAUUCUUUAUUUGAUUAUUACUGCUUGCGGGAUUAGUACAACUUGGAGCAAGCAAACUUGCAACGUAUUUCUAAGCCAGUACUGUAAGUUGGGAAGAGGACACCAACUUGUAAAUGUUUAUUUGUGCUCUGUGAUAGUCAGGCACAUGAGAGCAACAGUGAACAGUCCAGAAGAGAAACAGGCCCUUUGGCCCACGAUAUUAUGCUGAACAAUUAUAUCAGUAGUUAAAUGUGCAACCAAAUUAAUCCCUUCUCUCUACACAAUGUCAAUGUCCUUCCAUUUGCUUUACCCAUAAGAUUUUACAGAUGCUGGAAAUCUACAGCAACACACACAAAAUGCUGGAGGAACUCAGCAGGUCAGGCGGCAUCAAUGGAGAAGGACAAACAGUUGAUGUUUGAGGCCAAGAUCCUUCAUCUGGACUCAUGAAGGGUCAGAGUCCUGAUGAAAGAUCUUGGCCUGAAACAUCGACUGUUUAUUCCUGUCUAUAGAUGCAGCCUGACCUGCUGAGUUGCUCCAGCACUUUGUGUGUGUUACUUCCAUUUCCUAUACAUUCAUAAUGCAUAUCAAAGUUCUUGAGCCUCUCAUAUUUAUCUCCAGCAUUAGCAUCAUCCAGUCACCCCCAAAUCUCUGUGCAACCCCCUUUGAACUUGCCCCAUCUACUUUAAAUGCAGGCCAUCAGUUAGUACACAUUUCAGUCCUGGGAAAAAGAUAUUCUCACAAUCUUAUAAACCUCUAUCUGAUUACCUCUCAGUCUCUGCUGCCCCAGAGACAAUAAUCCAGUUUUGUCCAACCUCACCUUAUAGCACGUGCCCUCUAAACCAGGCAGCAUCCUGGUAAAUCUCUUCUGCAUCCUCUCCAAAGCUUAGACAUCCUUCCUUUAAUCCGGCAACCAGAAACGAAUGCAAUAAUCCAGACACCGCCUGACUAGAUUUUUAUGAAGCUGCAACGUAAUAUCUUGAAAACAAUUGGUCAAGGAGUAAAGACAAGCAUGCCACAUCCCUUCUUAGAAUCCUAUUAACCUGAGUAACCCCUCUCAGGGAGCUAUGUGGUUAGACCCCACGAUCCCUGUCAUUAACUCUUUUAAGGGUCUUGGCAUUAACCGUGUACUGUCUAUUUAUAUUUCAUCAGCUAAAGUAAACACUUAAUGUUUGGCUGGGUUAAACUCCAUUUGCCAUUUACCCACCCAUAGCUGCAACUGAUGCAUACUCCACUAUUCUCUGCGAGUCAUCUAUGCUAUCUGGUACACCAGCAAUCUUUAUAUCAUCUGCAACUUACUAACCCUCCCAUUUAUGUUUUCAUCCAGGUUAUUUAUGUAUAUCACAAACAGCAGAGGUCCCAGUAUGGAUCCCAGCAGAACCCAACUAUUCCCUAUGUUCUUUGAGUAAGACAAUUCUCAAUCCAAGCAGACAUUCACUGUGGGUCCCACGCAUCUUAAUAUUUUGGAAGCGCCUCCCACGAGAGUCCUUGUCAAACGCCUUACUAAAAUCCAUGUAGACAACACUCACAGCUCUACCUUCAUCCAUCACCUCGGUUCUUCCUCCAAAAACUCUCUCAAGUUACUGAGACAUUACUUCACCCACGCAAAGCCAUGUUGACUGUCUCUAAUUAGGCCAAGGUUUUCCAAAUGCUCAUAAAUCUUAUCCAGAAGAAUCAUCUUCACUUUCCAAACGUUGACAUGAAACUGACUGGUCCAUAGUUUCCAAGAUUAACCCUGUUUCCCUUCUUGAGUAAUGAAACAACAUUAACUAUUUGCUAGUCCUCUCCGGUCACCCCCAAAUUUCUGUGCAAUCCGCUUUUCAAUCUUCGCUAUGUAUAGCGAGGGUGCCUACGACUCUUGCUCAGCACGGCAGUAAUUUUGUGAUUACACUGUGUUGCUGCCGCAAAAAAAACCCAAAUUUCAUGACAUAUGAGUCAUGAUAAAUCUGAUUCUGAUACAGGGCUCUAUUGCGGACUGAAAGUGGGAAGGGAUACAGGGAGAGGGGAAUCAUAGUUGGGAAAGGACGAGAAAAGGAGAGGGAGUGGGAAGCAACAGAGAGUCAUUUUGUAAUGAUCAAUAAGCCAAUUGUUUGGAGUCAGAUGACCUUGCCUGGUGUCUCAGGGCUGGAUGUAUCUGCUGCUGCACCACCACCCCACACCACCACUGCCUCUCCUUCUUUACCACCUGUCCCACACCCCUCCCGUGGUACUCCACCAUCACCCCAUCACCACUCCCAAUACGUUUUGCUUACACUGGAUUAACGAACUCGUUCUCCACUCCACUUUGGCAAAUAUAGUGCGGUGCAAAAGUCUUGGGCUCCUAGCUAUAUAUAUAUAUAUAUAUACACCUUAGAAUACAUACAUAACGCUGGAAGAACUCAGCAGGUCAGGCAGCAUCCGUGAAAAAAGAGUAGCCAACGUCUCGGGCCGAGACCCUUCAUCAGGAAUGGGGGAGAAGAGCACAAAAAAGAGCUGAUGAAGGGUCUCCGCCCGAAAU
This is a long non-coding RNA of Hypanus sabinus (Atlantic stingray), 17565 nucleotides long. RefSeq lists it as uncharacterized. The transcript has 3 exons. Lineage: Eukaryota; Metazoa; Chordata; Chondrichthyes; Myliobatiformes; Dasyatidae. The record is from RefSeq and is a predicted model, not a curated record.